CAGCCGCGGUAAUACGUAGGAGGCAAACGUUAUCCGGAUUUACUGGGCGUAAAGCGCGUGCAGGCUGUUCGGUAAGUUGGGCGUGAAAGCUCCCGGCUCAACUGGGAGAGGUCGUUCAAUACUGUCGGACUAGAGGAUGGUAGAGGAAGGUGGAAUUCCGGGUGUAGUGGUGAAAUGCGCAGAUAUCCGGAGGAACACCAGUGGCGAAAGCGGCCUUCUGGACCAUUCCUGACGCUCAGACGCGAAAGCUAGGGUAGCGAACGGGAUUAGAGACCCCGGUAGUCCUAGCUGUAAACGAUGUGAACUUGGCGUCGGUGGGAUUAAAUCCAUCGGUGUCGUAGCUAACGCGAUAAGUUCACCGCCUGAGGACUACGGCCGCAAGGUUAAAACUCAAAGGAAUUGACGGGGACCCGCACAAGCAGCGGAGCGUGUGGUUUAAUUCGUUGCUACACGAAGAACCUUACCUGGGUUUGACAUAUAGGUUGUAGGGAACUGAAAAGGGACCGACCCUUCGGGGAGCCUAUACAGGUGUUGCAUGGCUGUCGUCAGCUCGUGUCGUGAGAUGUUCGGUUAAGUCCGCUAACGAGCGCAACCCUCGCCGUAUGUUAUAUGUGUCAUACGGGACUGCCGGUAACAAGCCGGAGGAAGGUGGGGAUGAUGUCAAGUCAGCAUGACCUUUAUAUCCAGGGCUACACACACGCUACAAUGGUCUGUACAAUGGGUAGCCAAGCCGCGAGGCGGAGCCAAUCCUGAAAGCAGGCCUCAGUUCAGAUUGCAGUCUGCAACCCGACUGCAUGAAGCCGGAGUUGCUAGUAACCGCAGGUCAGCAAUACUGCGGUGAAUACGUUCCCGGGUCUUGCACUCACCGCCCGUC
RNAcentral lists this ribosomal RNA (874 nucleotides) under uncultured Chloroflexota bacterium. RNAcentral's name for it is "bacterial SSU rRNA". It matches the Rfam family "Bacterial small subunit ribosomal RNA", at positions 512 to 1398 of the family's 1533-position model. Lineage: Bacteria; Bacillati; Chloroflexota. The record is from RNAcentral.